GCAGUCGCCACGGUAAAACGGAGGGUGCAAGCGUUAUCCGGAUUUAUUGGGUUUAAAGGGUCCGUAGGCGGAUCUGUAAGUCAGUGGUGAAAUCUCACAGCUUAACUGUGAAACUGCCAUUGAUACUGCAGGUCUUGAGUAAAUUUGAAGUGGCUGGAAUAAGUAGUGUAGCGGUGAAAUGCAUAGAUAUUACUUAGAACACCAAUUGCGAAGGCAGGUCACUAAGAUUUAACUGACGCUGAUGGACGAAAGCGUGGGGAGCGAACAGGAUUAGAUACCCGCGUAGUCCCUGUCUCUUAUAC
This 302-nucleotide ribosomal RNA is filed under the name uncultured bacterium. RNAcentral's name for it is "partial 16S ribosomal RNA". It matches the Rfam family "Bacterial small subunit ribosomal RNA", at positions 508 to 807 of the family's 1533-position model. The record is from RNAcentral.